This 460-nucleotide ribosomal RNA is filed under the name uncultured bacterium. RNAcentral's name for it is "partial 16S ribosomal RNA". It matches the Rfam family "Bacterial small subunit ribosomal RNA", at positions 338 to 795 of the family's 1533-position model. The record is from RNAcentral.
CCUACGGGAGUCAGCAGUGAGGAAUAUUUGUCAAUGGACGAGAGUCUGAACCAGCCAAGUAGCGUGAAGGAUGACUGCCCUAUGGGUUGUAAACUUCUUUUAUAUGGGAAUAAAAUGUUCCACGUGUGGGAUUUUGUAUGUACCAUAUGAAUAAUGAUCGGCUAACUCCGUGCCAGCAGCCGCGGUAAGACGGAGGAUCCGAGCGUUAUCCGGAUUUAUUGGGUUUAAAGGGAGCGUAGGUGGAUUGUUAAGUCAGUUGUGAAAGUUUGCGGCUCAACCGUAAAAUUGCAGGUGAAACUGGCAGUCUUGAGUACAGUAGAGGUGGGCGGAAUUCGUGGUGUAGCGGUGAAAUGCUUAGAUAUCACGAAGAACUCCGAUUGCGAAGGCAGUUCACUGGACUGCAACUGACACUGAGGCUCGAAAGUGUGGGUAUCAAACAGGAUUAGAUACCCCGGUAGUC